This 91-nucleotide transfer RNA is filed under the name Staphylococcus aureus. Its description in RNAcentral is "tRNA-Ser". Lineage: Bacteria; Bacillati; Bacillota; Bacilli; Caryophanales; Staphylococcaceae. The record is from RNAcentral.
GGAGAGUUGUCCGAGUUGGCCGAAGGAGCACGCCUGGAAAGUGUGUAGGCGCCACAAGCGUCUCGAGGGUUCUCGAAUCCCUCACUCUCCG